Molecule: long non-coding RNA, 2397 nt
Filed under: Fukomys damarensis (Damara mole-rat)
Lineage: Eukaryota; Metazoa; Chordata; Mammalia; Rodentia; Bathyergidae
Description: lncRNA (ENSFDAG00000025225.1)
Source: RNAcentral
AGAAGACGUCUGCAGAUCUGCGAGGCAAGGGAGAGGGGCUGCAGAAACCUUUCUGUGCACUGUGGCCCGAAGUCACCUCCCACCCUAGAGCUGGUGAGAGUGGGUGGGAGGUUUGCCACCCAGAGCUCUGCCUGCUCUUUUCUUCCCAGAAAGCCCCUGCAAGACCGCAACUUCACCCCCAUCUCAGCUGGGCAUGUUCAGAAGCUGCACGCAACAGAAUCUUCCAGAACAUUUUCCCGCUCUGGAUCAAUCCAGGUUGACAUCCUAAGGCCAAGCAGAGAGGCAGGUCUCCAAGACAGCCGGGAGCCUGUGCGCGUCACCACGGCUUUCACCACCACCGGUGUCCUACCCAGCAGCCUCUCACCCAUCCCAGCAGGAAGCAGCCGGCAAACAAACACUGGCCGGAAACACAUGCAGUGCAACCGACAAUCGUCUGAUCUGCCGGGCCACCAUAAUGAAGUGUGGAGUGUGAGCAGAGUGGCUUCAAUAGUAGAAAUGAGUUUUGCUGUCUUGGAGGCUGGAAACCUAAGAUCAAGGUGGCAGCAGGUUGGUUCAGAGCUUCUCCCUGGACUUUCAGGCGCUUCUUUCUCAGUGUGCCCUCCUGUAGCCUCUCCGCUGGGGGGCGGGGGGCUCUGGUCUGUCUUCCUCUUCCUCUUCUUAUGAGGCAUCAGCCCUCUCCACUGGACUCCACCUCAUGACCUCGGCUGACCUCAGUCGCCUCCUUGAGGUCCUAUCUCCAAAUACAGUCACAGUGGUGGUUAGGGCGUCACAUGAAUUCGGGGCAGGGCCAACAUUCAGUCACUAACAACCACAUUCUAGGUUUUCAGUCACUCUUGCUUAAAAAAAAAACAAAAAAAAAACAUGUAAGAUGGUGAAUAUUUUUUAACCAGCAACAAAACUGUUUAAUAAACCCUACUCCUCUUAAACCCUCACUGUUCUCCCCCAGCAAUGCUUCUUUCCCCGUCCCAGUUCCGGACUCCCAAUCCCAAAUCCUCUGCGUGGUGACCCUUGUUUCUCCUCGCCCCUUAGAUCUAAUCUAUUGUUCCUGCUAGCAAUUCUGCCAUGGGUCUGGGUGUCCGGAAAGGGAAAGUUUUUGGCUAGCGAUAGCGAUGCAGAAUGAAAUACCCUUGUGAAAGGCUUGUUUCUGUUAGGAGAGGAAGAACUUGGCCAAGCCAUUGUCACUCAGUUUCUGCUGUCUCUCUUAGGACUCCUACUGAGGAGCCUUAAAGCAUCAGUGAGGGGGGGCCCAUCAUCGCAGAAAGACCCUGAGAAAGGAAGGGAGGAGGGGGAGCUAAAGGAGCCCGGCUCUUCCAUUCCCAGCAUACAUGAGCCACACGUAAGGAUGGUUUUGAGGUGACACAGCCCCUUCACCACCUGAUGCAAGUGCCUGAGGAACCCCAAACAACAACCAACUGAGCUGAGUCAACUCCUAAAUCAUCAGCAAAACAGCAGAUUUUAAAAAAAUUGUUUAUGCUACUGUUUGGUGUGGUUUGUUACACAGGAUCCCAUCCCCAAUCCUGGCAGGCCGGGGUCAAUCUCUCCACUUUCUUUGUUCACUCUGGGGUCUGCAGAUCUCCAGGUGGGGUGAAGCAUUAACAACCGCCAGCCACAAGUAACCCACUCAGCCCAGGCAGAGAGACAGUAGGGCCUACAGGCAGAUAACCCAGCUGCUGGAGAGGCCUCCGCUCGGGUGUGGGGUCCUGGUAUUCCUGCUUCCCACCAAGCCCAUGUUGUCAGCUUUGAGCUGGGCUCCAUAUUUGACCUUAUUCCAGGGGAAAGUAGGUUCUCCUCUUGCUCCUGCCUAUCUCUGAGCAGGCUCUGUCAUCCCAGGGCCCUAAAUUGGCCCACCGGAACAUGGUGUAAUGGUCAGUCUUUAAGCUGCAUUCUUCUGCUUUCCACUGGGAGGUCUUAUAUGUUCCGCUCAUCACUUGCACAGAUAGACAUGUGGCUCAAAACCUUCCAUCUGCUCCAACUCCAUGAGGAGGCUCUGCCAUCCAGUUGCACAUAACACCAAGGAGUAGGAGUUCAUGAUGAAGGAGAUGGUUUUAAUGCCAGGAGUAGCUGGAUACUUCCUACAAAGCCUUGGUCAUAUCUCCGUAAGGUAGCUCAGCUAGGGAACACAAUACAGGUAGAGCUGACUUCUUGUGCAGUCAUAAAAGCCUGCAGGUGAUAGAGGAAAAGGUUCUUCCACCUUCCUCUUUACUUGGCUGAAUUACUAUAUGAAAGCAUAUCCCCAGCACCCCUUGGCUUCUGUAGCAAAUAGAAGCCUCUGGACUUGCUCAGUUUGGACUCUGCCAAGUCCAGCUGUCCACACACACAUGUCAUAGUUCAUUUUUCUACAACACAAGGAACUAGGUGAGGACAUAGGUGGUGAAACUGAGGCUUGGAGGCGUAAAG